Molecule: long non-coding RNA, 3504 nt
Filed under: Sus scrofa (pig)
Lineage: Eukaryota; Metazoa; Chordata; Mammalia; Artiodactyla; Suidae
Description: lncRNA (ENSSSCG00000055175.1)
Source: RNAcentral
UCCCUGGCCUCGCUCAGUGGGUUAAGGAUCUGGUGUUGCGGUGAGCUGUGGUGUAGGUCGCAGAUGCUGCUCGGAUCCCACGUUGCUGUGGCUCUGAUGUAGCCCAGCGACUACAGCUCUGAUAAGACCCCUAGCCUGGGAACCUCCAUAUGCCACGGGUGUGGCCCUAAAAUGACAACAAACAAACAAAACAAAACAAAAAUUCAAAGAUUUGACCUUUUGGGCAAAUGACAGUUAAUAGAAUGACUUUGUGUACAAGUUAAGACUUUUAAAAUAUAAUCACCUUCAUAUUUAAAUCUCUACUUUUGUAAUCACCAUUAUUCCUAAUUUUGCACUUGGUUGUCAGCAAUUCCAGCCACUGAGCUGAUGAAUUAAGUUUCUUCCAUGUUCUCCCCCUACUGGAAUACUGAUGUAUUCUCAGUGAACUGUAAGGUAUUUCACUAGAGAGAGCACAGUUAAGGAGGGGCUUUGCCUGCCAUACCCCAUAUGUAGAAGGGAGCCCAGGCUCUGUCUAGAGAAGAAGGAAAGGGAAAGGUGUGGUCAGAGGAGGGUGAGAGGAAAUGAACAAAGGCACAGCCAAUUUUAGGAGGAAAUCAAGAAACUCAAGGCCACGUAUUCCUAAUUCAGUGGAUCUGAGUUUCUGGUUAAUCAAAUGACUGCAGCGCUUUGGGGAUGAUAAUGGAGGAUUUCUACUACCAACCCUGAAAUUUGCACAUAUAAAUACACUGUAGUUCUUGGCUUUCAAGUUUAUUAAAAUAUAUUGGGACUGGUGCUUCUUUCCAAAUAAAAAGGCUGGUUGUGCGAGGUGUUGCAUCUUAGAAAAGUAUUGGACAGUUCCAGCCAUUUUACGUUAAACUGAAUUUAAAGGUUUUUUUUUUUUUAAUUUUUAAAAUUAUUUUAUUUUUUAAUUUAGUGAUGCCUUUGAACAAAGCACUUUACAAGUAAAUCUGCUGUGCAGAGAAUCCUUUUUGUAAAGAGAGACCUUGUUACCCUUGGCACUUAAUGGGAACAUCCCUAAAUUUGGAUGGUGAAGUAAGGCCACCUUUUAAAUACAUCCCUGGAAGGGAUAAAAUGCUCAGAACUUGGCAGCAUUUCACUUCUGAUGGCCUAGUUCUUAAGCCACAUACAAUCUAAUUGGUGGUGACAGGUUUUUCCAUAAGUGCAUUUUGAUGAAUUAAAAAAUUUUCCCUACCUCUCCCUCUUCUCACUUCCUCAAUGAAGUUACUAUGUUGUGUUCACCCUGAUGCCCAGCACUUAGGCUGGUAGGCACUUAGGAACUUUUGACAAAUUGUAUCCUCAUUAUUACAGAAUGUAUCAUUUAUCUGUGCAGACAGAUACUGAAGAUCUUCAGAACUAAAAGACAUCAUCAGAAGUACACCUGUAGGAGAAAAGAUUGAUAGCAUACUAGGAACACACUGCAUUAAAAUAAAUGAGUAUAAAUUGUAUUGUUUAUUUUCUUUUUAUGUCUUUGGGGGUGCUGAGGAGAGGUGUUUAGGUAAGAAGUCAUCAGGUUUUUUUAUUAUAAAACCAAGUGUUUGACUUUCUGUUUUACUAUUGUUUAUAGAUAGUGCCUGUUGUAUAAGAACACUUUUAAAAUGUUGCCCAAACUUGAGUAUCACAACACUGUACUUUCUCAAUAGCAGUUUGACUUUUGUUGGUGACUCAUUUGAACUUUUGGGAAACCCAAACCAACUAUGGAUAUCAGAAACUGCCUUUUCUGGAAGGGUUUAGGGCUUUCUCAUACGGGUGAAGAGAGUGUGGGGAGAUGUUGGGAAUUGCCUGCCAUUCUCUUGGUUCCUACACCUUCUUGAACUUGGUAAGACAUUUCUCAGAUAAGAAUUGAUCUGAAUUGCUCAGUUUGAUAUAAGAUACUUAUUUAUAAUGUUUGUUUUGUGUUGUUUUGUAGUUUCCAUGAAUCUUUUAAUGUAAUUCUCAGAAGAAGCUUGGCUUUAUCUCUGUUUUACAGAUUAGGAAACUAAGAUCCAAAUAAGUUAGGUGACUUGUUUAUGUUACGCAGUUUUUACAUGAAAGAGCCAAUAUAGGGACACAGAAGGAAUUCGAGGGACUGGCUCCAGAGCCCUCCCUCAUUUUCCUUAUCUAUAAAAAAUAAUGCAACUCCAACCUUACACAAUUGUGAAUAGUUAUAGAGGUAAUGCAAAAGAGCACCCACAGCAAUGCUUGUCACCUAGUAGGUGUUUGAUCUUUGAUAGCUGCUAUUGGUAAUAUACUAAGAAGAUAUUUAAUUUUUAUUUUAAACCUUAUUUUCUUUAUGAAACCAAUCAAAAGGGGUUGGUAUAAAACAGGAAUAAGGACAGAAGUUGAAAUGUUACAAACUGCCAUAUUGACCCCCAUUAGCUCAAAGUCAUAGUAGUGAAUCUUGAAGAAUUUUCACAUGUAAACGGGGAAAUCAAACAAUGUCUUAAGGAAAUGGGAUUGUACGUAUGUUUGCGCUUCUUUCCCUUACUUUCAUUCUCAUUCUACUCUCAGGGAUCAGAAGGGUUGUACUCAAUGGGCAAGCUGUCCUUAGUAGCUAUAUAGGUAGAUGGCCCAAAGCUUUUUUUCUUUUUUUUUUUUUUCCGGCUGAGCCCAUGGAAAUUCUGGGCCAGGGAUUGGAUCCCCCAUCACAGCAGGGACCUGAGCCAUAGCAGUAACAACUGGCCCUAAACUUUUAUUUAUUUAUUUCUUGCUUUAUUUUUUUUUUAGGGUCAUACCCAUGGCAUGUGGAAGUUCCCAGGUUGAAUCAGAGCUGCAGCUGCUAGCCUGCAUCACAGCCACAGCAACACCAGAUCUGAGCCACAUCUAUGACCUACACCACAGCACACAGCAACAAUGGAUCCUUGAACCCAUUGAUCGCGGCCAGGGAUUGAACCUGGAUCCUCAUGGAUACUGGUUGAGUUAGUCACCACUGAACCAUAACGGGAACUCCUGCCCUAAGCUUUUAUUAAUGGCAGCUCCAAAUGUCAUUCAAAGUCAAAUUUUUAUUUAUCUUAAAUGUAGAAUUAUAAAAACGAAAAUAAUUUUUAAAAUGUAUACUUUAAUCUUGGAAAACCAAGAAGUUGGAUUUUUUUUAUAUAUUUCUAUAAUUCUACAGAUUUUUUCAGUAAUUUGGAUAAAUGAAAAAUUGAAGAUCCACGUUGGUGACGUCCAAGAUGCCUAUGUUAAGAGUUAGGAACCUUAUUACGAAGGGAAUUAUAUGUUUUACCCAUGCAUUUUUUUUUCUCAUUGAUGCUUUUAUGUAGGAAGUUAAAACAUUAGAAAUUUUUUUUUUUAUUAUCAAACAUUUCUACUAUUUUUGGUUAUUCUCUUUUUACUGCUUCUUAGAUAAGGACAGGAAAUAUCUAUCCAUAGUUUCUGGGGAACUUUUGUUUGCAUUCAAUCCAGGAAAAAUUUUACGCACUUAUUCCUAAACAUUUUUAAAAUUAAAAAAAAAAAUCAUGGAGUUCCUUGGUGGCUCAGCAGGUUAAGGAUCUAGCAUUGUCACUGCUGUGGUUCAGGUCUGUGUGU